Molecule: long non-coding RNA, 1580 nt
Organism: Mugil cephalus (flathead mullet)
Lineage: Eukaryota; Metazoa; Chordata; Actinopteri; Mugiliformes; Mugilidae
Exons: 3
Source: RefSeq, a predicted model, not a curated record
AGAAACACGAAUUCCAAACGCACUCCAGAUCUGGUUGUCUUAAUCGGAUAAAGAGAAGUCCGUUUUUAGACGGAGUAACGCGUUUACAUGCACUUAAGUUCUCCAGUAAUAGUCCGAUUAAUUCAUAUUUUUCCCCCACGUGCAUGUAAAGUACUGACUGAUGCCAUAACGGUCAGUUACGAACGAGAUUAUUAACGUUUUACAAGAGGAAUAUUGUUUUAUUUUCAUGGACACGAGUUGCAUGUUUUUCCGAGUUGUUUUGAGAGGUCCAUGACGGAUGCGACCGGAGAAACUACUGUGAUUUUCUUUACCGAGGACUCGGACCUUCCCUAAUGUCCUGACCCGCAGUUCAGACGUGGCCCUGGAGGAGAAGAAAAGAGAAAAAGGUCUUUGAAGCGAAGCAGAUCUCUGCCAGCUUUAACAAAGCUGCGGCUCAAAGCUCCGAGAUGGAAAGAGGCUGCAGGCCUCACCUUCUGCCUCCAUGGGAGCCUGUGUAAAGGCUGAAAGGGAAAAUGAAAGAGGCCGCCACCUCCUCACAGCAGUGGGAGUGAGCUCCGUCCUCUGGGGGGCUGAGUAAGACGUCUUUGGUGGUUGAGGGAGCUUUUCUGGCAUCUGCACAGUGUUUCAACGCGACAGCUAAUUCUGUUACAGGAGGCAUAAACAGUUCUGUUCUUAUCGCAAACACAGACCCAGGACGUCGGCUGCUAUCGUCAUCGUUGUAUAACACUUUGGAUGCAACAGACAAAGGAAAGGCAAAGGAGGGAAGAGAACGACAGGGAGAGGGUGUGUAGGAUGUGUUGGGAGAACAGAGAGCGGCGAUACAUCACUGAUGAAUAUUUUAAACAGUCCCUGGUUACACGAAGAAAAAUGAAGACACUUUUUUUUCUAUACUGUGUCUGUAGUAAAAGGAUCUUAUGAAAAUUAGGACACAAAGACAUGCUCUGAGACUUAUUCCCAAAGAGAAACAGGUUUAACAGUGUUUAUAUCAUGUGCAAAGAAAUCUUCUGUAGUUAAGAUUGUGCACUUUGUUUUUUGCACAGUGCACAAUUAGCACAUUCUGUAUCACAUAUUUGACCCCACGUUUAAAAAUACUCUGCGGUAUCACUGUCUAGUGUGUCUAGUUGUCCUGUAUUUAUGACAGAUCUCCCAUCUCAUCACAUUUAUGUAUCAUAACUCAUUAUUUCCUUCUUAAGACUGAAUGACAGACAUGAUAUGACAGGGGUUGGCAGGUCAUCAACACUGUCCUCUUACUGUGUUGUCCAUCAGUCCAUGUGACUUAAGUGGUAUGAGCAGUGUAUUGACAAAGAUCAUUUCUGAUGUCAACUACGAACACCUGUUUUGUGUACAUUUUGUUACCAUCCUCACAUAUACCGAAUAUUGGUUCAUUCAAAUAAUAUUUAUUUGAAUGUGAUGUUUAAAAUGACCCAGUAUUCUGUCAUUUUGAAAUUUUUUGUUGAAUGAAUUGUGCACAUAAAACAGAGGUUGUCAAGGAGCCCCUGAGAAUAGCUGCACUGGGUAGUCUAUAAGUAAUCUUAGCAUAAUUGCCUGAGUCAUUUUUUGACACACUGUUACAAUAUCAA